GAUCAGCCCGCGCCCCGUAAAAAGGCACGGCCCGCCCGAGGACCCCUAAACUCUGUUUUUAGUGGAACUUCUGAGUAAACAAAACAAAUAAAUCAAAACUUUCAACAACGGAUCUCUUGGUUCUGGCAUC
Molecule: ribosomal RNA, 130 nt
Filed under: uncultured fungus
Lineage: Eukaryota; Fungi
Description: partial contains internal transcribed spacer 1 and 5.8S ribosomal RNA
Source: RNAcentral